UCGAACGGGGUUUAUCCUGUAGCAAUACAGGAUGGACUCAGUGGCGGACGGGUGAGUAAUACGUAGGUAACCUACCCUCGGGAGGGGGAUAACUUCGAGAAAUCGUGGCUAAUACCGCAUAAGACCACGAGUUGGGAUGCUUGUGGUAAAAGUCCCGAGUAAUCGGGAUGCCUGGGGAUGGGUUUGCGGCCUAUCAGGUAGUUGGUAGGGUAAUGGCCUACCAAGCCUAUGACGGGUAGCCGGGCUGAGAGGUCGGACGGCCACACUGGGACUGAGACACGGCCCAGACUCCUACGGGAGGCAGCAGUGGGGAAUAUUGCGCAAUGGGGGAAACCCUGACGCAGCGACGCCGCGUGGAGGAUGAAGGCCUUCGGGUUGUAAACUCCUUUUCUUGGGGAAAAUUGUGAUGGUACUCAAGGAAUAAGCUACGGCUAACUCUGUGCCAGCAGCCGCGGUAAGACAGAGGUGGCGAGCGUUGUUCGGAAUUACUGGGCUUAAAGGGCGAGUAGGCGGUGAGGUAAGUCUAGGGUGGAAUCCUAUGGCUCAACUGUAGAACUGC
This 559-nucleotide ribosomal RNA is filed under the name uncultured Thermodesulfovibrio sp. RNAcentral describes it as "bacterial SSU rRNA". It matches the Rfam family "Bacterial small subunit ribosomal RNA", at positions 62 to 624 of the family's 1533-position model. Lineage: Bacteria; Pseudomonadati; Nitrospirota; Thermodesulfovibrionia; Thermodesulfovibrionales; Thermodesulfovibrionaceae. The record is from RNAcentral.